UAACAAACGGAAAACUCGGUCUUCCGAUUCGCAUGGUUUAACCUCUUCUGCACCGGGUCGCUGCCGUCACUUCACUUCCCCUUUGUGGUUCUCGUCACCGCUUAUAUAGUUUCCUCCAGCCUAAAUAUUACACUGGACAAGUCUUGGGGGUAUCUUCAAUCAGAUGGAACAAUGGAUGGUUUAGUGGGUGACCUUCAACGAAGGAAAAUUGACUUUGGAUUGUCCCCAUUAUUCGUGAAGAAGGAUAGACUUAAAUUUAUCAGUUACGGUAGAAGAACUUACAAUUUAAGGGCCGCAUUCAUACUUAGAAAUCCAAAAUCAAGAAGGUCUUUCGAAAUAUUUUUUAAACCUCUCUCCGUGGAUGUAUGGAUGUCUAUCAUAGUGUGUUCUAUCUUGUGUGUGUUGGCUCAAAAAAUUGGAUUUACAGAGGACAAUAAGUCUGCACGAAUCGCAAAUGAUGUAUCAUGGAGUUUUAGUACAAUUUGCACUUUCGGAGCAUUUUGUCAGCAAGGUAA
Dendroctonus ponderosae (mountain pine beetle) is the source of this 515-nucleotide long non-coding RNA. RefSeq lists it as uncharacterized. Lineage: Eukaryota; Metazoa; Arthropoda; Insecta; Coleoptera; Curculionidae. The transcript has 3 exons. The record is from RefSeq and is a predicted model, not a curated record.